Molecule: ribosomal RNA, 433 nt
Filed under: uncultured bacterium
Lineage: Bacteria
Description: partial 16S ribosomal RNA
Rfam family: Bacterial small subunit ribosomal RNA
Source: RNAcentral
AACGAACGCUGGCGGCAUGCCUAACACAUGCAAGUCGAACGAGACCUUCGGGCCUAGUGGCGCACGGCUACGUACCGCGUGGGAACCUGCACUUAGGUUCGCUAUCACUCCCCGAAAGAGGUCCUCAUACCGCUUAAUGUAUUAGGACCAAAGAUCUAUCGCCUUUGGGUGGGGCCGCGUUGGUUUAGCUGGUUGGUAGGGUAAAAGCCUACCAAGGGGACGAUCCAUAGCUGGUCUGAGAGGAUGAUCAGCCACACUGGGACUGAGACACGGCCCAGACUCCGACGGGAGGCAGCAGUGGGGAAUAUUGGACAAUGGGCGAAAGCCUGAUCCAGCAAUGCCGCGUGAGUGAUGAAGGCCUUAGGGUUGUAAAGCUCUUUUACCCGGGAUGAUAAUGACAGUACCGGGAGAAUAAGCUCCGGCUAACUCCGUG